This 88-nucleotide transfer RNA is filed under the name Gammaproteobacteria bacterium. RNAcentral's name for it is "tRNA-Ser". It matches the Rfam family "tRNA". Rfam says of the family: Transfer RNA (tRNA) molecules are approximately 80 nucleotides in length. Their secondary structure includes four short double-helical elements and three loops (D, anti-codon, and T loops). Lineage: Bacteria; Pseudomonadati; Pseudomonadota; Gammaproteobacteria. The record is from RNAcentral.
GGAGGGGUGGCUGAGCGGUCGAAAGCGCUGGUCUUGAAAACCAGAGAGGUGCAAGCCUCCCAGGGUUCGAAUCCCUGCCCCUCCGCCA